RNAcentral lists this transfer RNA (76 nucleotides) under Pseudomonas sp. Its description in RNAcentral is "tRNA-Val". It matches the Rfam family "tRNA". From Rfam's summary of the family: Transfer RNA (tRNA) molecules are approximately 80 nucleotides in length. Their secondary structure includes four short double-helical elements and three loops (D, anti-codon, and T loops). Lineage: Bacteria; Pseudomonadati; Pseudomonadota; Gammaproteobacteria; Pseudomonadales; Pseudomonadaceae. The record is from RNAcentral.
GGGUGGUUAGCUCAGUGGGUAGAGCAGCUGCCUUACAAGCAGCGGGUCAGCGGUUCGAGCCCGUUACCACCCACCA